UGUAACGGGGCUAAACCAUGCACCGAAGCUGCGGCAGCGACACUGUGUGUUGUUGGGUAGGGGAGCGUUCUGUAAGCCUGUGAAGGUGUGUCGUGAGGCAUGCUGGAGGUAUCAGAAGUGCGAAUGCUGACAUAAGUAACGAUAAAGCGGGUGAAAAGCCCGCUCGCCGGAAGACCAAGGGUUCCUGUCCAACGUUAAUCGGGGCAGGGUGAGUCGACCCCUAAGGCGAGGCCGAAAGGCGUAGUCGAUGGGAAACGGGUUAAUAUUCCCGUACUUGGUGUUACUGCGAAGGGGGGACGGAGAAGGCUAUGUUGGCCGGGCGACGGUUGUCCCGGUUUAAGCGUGUAGGUGUGUGUUCCAGGUAAAUCCGGUUCACUUUAACACUGAGGCGUGACGACGAGGCACUACGGUGCUGAAGCAACAAAUGCCCUGCUUCCAGGAAAAGCCUCUAAGCAUCAGGUAACAUCAAAUCGUACCCCAAACCGACACAGGUGGUCAGGUAGAGAAUACCAAGGCGCUUGAGAGAACUCGGGUGAAGGAACUAGGCAAAAUGGUGCCGUAACUUCGGGAGAAGGCACGCUGACACGUAGGUGAAGUGAUUUACUCAUGGAGCUGAAGUCAGUCGAAGAUACCAGCUGGCUGCAACUGUUUAUUAAAAACACAGCACUGUGCAAACACGAAAGUGGACGUAUACGGUGUGACGCCUGCCCGGUGCCGGAAGGUUAAUUGAUGGGGUCAGCGCAAGCGAAGCUCCUGAUCGAAGCCCCGGUAAACGGCGGCCGUAACUAUAACGGUCCUAAGGUAGCGAAAUUCCUUGUCGGGUAAGUUCCGACCUGCACGAAUGGCGUAAUGAUGGCCAGGCUGUCUCCACCCGAGACUCAGUGAAAUUGAACUCGCUGUGAAGAUGCAGUGUACCCGCGGCAAGACGGAAAGACCCCGUGAACCUUUACUAUAGCUUGACACUGAACAUUGAGCCUUGAUGUGUAGGAUAGGUGGGAGGCUUUGAAGUGUGGACGCCAGUCUGCAUGGAGCCGACCUUGAAAUACCACCCUUUAAUGUUUGAUGUUCUAACGUGGACCCGUUACCCGGGUUGCGGACAGUGUCUGGUGGGUAGUUUGACUGGGGCGGUCUCCUCCUAAAGAGUAACGGAGGAGCACGAAGGUUGGCUAAUCCUGGUCGGACAUCAGGAGGUUAGUGCAAUGGCAUAAGCCAGCUUGACUGCGAGCGUGACGGCGCGAGCAGGUGCGAAAGCAGGUCAUAGUGAUCCGGUGGUUCUGAAUGGAAGGGCCAUCGCUCAACGGAUAAAAGGUACUCCGGGGAUAACAGGCUGAUACCGCCCAAGAGUUCAUAUCGACGGCGGUGUUUGGCACCUCGAUGUCGGCUCAUCACAUCCUGGGGCUGAAGUAGGUCCCAAGGGUAUGGCUGUUCGCCAUUUAAAGUGGUACGCGAGCUGGGUUUAGAACGUCGUGAGACAGUUCGGUCCCUAUCUGCCGUGGGCGCUGGAGAACUGAGGGGGGCUGCUCCUAGUACGAGAGGACCGGAGUGGACGCAUCACUGGUGUUCGGGUUGUCAUGCCAAUGGCACUGCCCGGUAGCUAAAUGCGGAAGAGAUAAGUGCUGAAAGCAUCUAAGCACGAAACUUGCCCCGA
This 1648-nucleotide ribosomal RNA is filed under the name Salmonella enterica. RNAcentral describes it as "partial 23S ribosomal RNA". It matches the Rfam family "Bacterial large subunit ribosomal RNA", at positions 1171 to 2802 of the family's 2925-position model. RNAcentral also lists the same sequence under 1 other name. Lineage: Bacteria; Pseudomonadati; Pseudomonadota; Gammaproteobacteria; Enterobacterales; Enterobacteriaceae. The record is from RNAcentral.